This 267-nucleotide unclassified non-coding RNA is filed under the name Pseudopenidiella sp. RNAcentral describes it as "partial contains 5.8S ribosomal RNA, internal transcribed spacer 2, and large subunit ribosomal RNA". The stretch from base 1 to 71 matches the Rfam family "5.8S ribosomal RNA", at positions 84 to 154 of the family's 154-position model. The record is from RNAcentral. Lineage: Eukaryota; Fungi; Ascomycota.
GUGAGUCAUCGAAUCUUUGAACGCACAUUGCGCCCCUUGGUAUUCCUCGGGGCAUGCCUGUUCGAGCGCCGUUUCAAACUUAAGGAUUUACCUUGCGUUGAUGUUAUCCGUUUUCGGAUUCAUCGAAACACUUUGGCGUCUUCCUGUUCUCUCAGCGUAGCAAGUCAUCGCUUUAAGAGCAACAAAGAAGGCCGCCUGUGCUCACGAGUUUGGCCUCGAAUCAGGUAGGGAUACCCGCUGAACUUAAGCAUAUCAAUAAGCGGAGGA